This 60-nucleotide transfer RNA is filed under the name Tumebacillus flagellatus. It matches the Rfam family "tRNA", at positions 1 to 58 of the family's 71-position model. Rfam says of the family: Transfer RNA (tRNA) molecules are approximately 80 nucleotides in length. Lineage: Bacteria; Bacillati; Bacillota; Bacilli; Caryophanales; Alicyclobacillaceae. The record is from Rfam by way of RNAcentral.
GAGCCAUUAGCUCAGUUGGUAGAGCACCUGACUUUUAAUCAGGGUGUCGAAGGUUCAAGU